Long non-coding RNA from Rhinopithecus roxellana (golden snub-nosed monkey), 467 nucleotides. RefSeq lists it as uncharacterized. The record is from RefSeq and is a predicted model, not a curated record. NCBI's taxonomy places the organism in Eukaryota, Metazoa, Chordata, Mammalia, Primates, Cercopithecidae. The transcript has 3 exons.
AGCUCGUCUGCUGCUUGCCGCAAUGUUUGCUGCUCACUCAAAAAGUGCUGGGCCCUUGACCCUGGAUUCCUCUGCUGCAGUGCAUCCCACUGAGUGUGUAGCCCUCAUCUGGGCCUGUUUUGCCAUGGAACUCGGGGCAGGACGCCGGCUGCAAAGAUGCUAGCGCUCUCUGAAGUGAUUGAAACUUCCAGCUGGCUCCGGGUUUCCACUCUUGCCCCCUUCAGCCAGGACGAUCCUGUUAAAAUGAUAGCUGAAAUCCAAGAAGCGCAGCCAGGGAGUUCUGGAGAAACGAGUGCUCGAAUGCAGGUUACCUCUGCCGUCAUCUGCAGAAAAGUUCUCAGGAGUCUGGGCUGAAGUACAAGUAACAUUCUUGAAGUACAAUUCUCAGAGAACCAGCUUCUUCACAACCUUGACAUCACUAACAACCCAUUGCUGGCCUGCUGCUAUGCUGGCACCCUCGACUUUUC